UAAAAAUAUAAAUUUAAAAAAUAGAGUAGUAAUAGUUAUAUUCUUAAAACUUAAUAAAUUUGGCGGUAUUUUAAUCUAUUCAGAGGAACUUGUUUUAUAAUUGAUAAUCCACAUUAAAUCUUACUUAAUUUUGUUUAAUUUGUAUAUCGUCGUCAUAAGAAUAUCUUAAAAAAGAAAAAAUUUUCUAACAUUUAAAUUAAUAAUUAUGUCAGAUCAAGGUGCAGUUUAUGAUUAAGAAAAAAUGAGUUACAAUAAAUUUAUUUAAACGAAUUUUAAAUUUAAAUAUUUAAUUGAAGGUGGAUUUGAUAGUAAAAUAAUCAAUAGAAAUUAUUUGAUUUUAGUUCUAAAAUAUGC
This 354-nucleotide ribosomal RNA is filed under the name Leptomorphus walkeri. RNAcentral's name for it is "partial 12S ribosomal RNA". Lineage: Eukaryota; Metazoa; Arthropoda; Insecta; Diptera; Mycetophilidae. The record is from RNAcentral.